RNAcentral lists this ribosomal RNA (585 nucleotides) under uncultured bacterium. RNAcentral's name for it is "partial 16S ribosomal RNA". It matches the Rfam family "Bacterial small subunit ribosomal RNA", at positions 355 to 1376 of the family's 1533-position model. The record is from RNAcentral.
UGGGGAAUAUUGCACAAUGGGCGAAAGCCUGAUGCAGCAACGCCGCGUGAGUGAAGAAGGCCUUCGGGUUGUAAAGCACUUUUGUCCGGAAAGAAAUCCUUGGCUCUAAUACAGUCGGGGGAUGACGGUACCGGAAGAAUAAGCACCGGCUAACUACGUGCCAGCAGCCGCGGUAAUACGUAGGGUGCAAGCGUUAAUCGGAAUUACUGGGCGUAAAGCGUGCGCAGGCGGUUUGCUAAGACCGAUGUGAAAUCCCCGGGCUCAACCUGGGAACUGCAUUGGUGACUGGCAGGCUAGAGUAUGGCAGAGGGGGGUAGAAUUCCACGUGUAGCAGUGAAAUGCGUAGAGAUGUGGAGGAAUACCGAUGGCGAAGGCAGCCCCCUGGGCCAAUACUGACGCUCAUGCACGAAAGCGUGGGGAGCAAACAGGAUUAGAUACCCUGGUAGUCCACGCCCUAAACGAUGUCAACUAGUUGUUGGGAUUCAUUUCCUUAGUAACGUAGCUAACGCGUGAAGUUGACCGCCUGGGGAGUACGGUCGCAAGAUUAAAACUCAAAUGAAUUGACGGGGUCAUAGCUGUUUCCUG